Molecule: long non-coding RNA, 380 nt
Filed under: Salvia miltiorrhiza (redroot sage)
Lineage: Eukaryota; Viridiplantae; Streptophyta; Magnoliopsida; Lamiales; Lamiaceae
Description: long non-coding RNA (SMIL_LNC008737)
Source: RNAcentral
AAAAAUUACAUUCCAAUUUUACCCCUCUCCAGAUUUUGCCUUGAAAUGCCUUGCCACGUGUCACCAUCUUGAUGCGCCACAUGUCAUAAAUGUGUGGUCAAGAUUUGGACCUACGGAUCUAUUAUAAGCAUUGGAUACUACAUGAUCUCACUUAUAUAUAUAUAUAUAGGGUGUGGUUCUAGAGAGAACUACAUUAUUUGUGAGAACGUGAGAACCAUCAAAUCUAAUGCAUCCACUAUAAAAAUUAAUGCAUUCGCUGUUAAAAUUAAUGCACUAAAAAAAAUAAAAAUAAAAAUUGUUCCAUUCAGGAUUCGAAUCCAGGAUCUGCAUUCAUCCAACAAGAUGAUGCAUUCACCGUAGAUCUUGAUGAUCGAAUGGCU